This 500-nucleotide ribosomal RNA is filed under the name Boulenophrys nanlingensis (Nanling horned toad). RNAcentral's name for it is "partial large subunit ribosomal RNA". It matches the Rfam family "Bacterial large subunit ribosomal RNA", at positions 1933 to 2601 of the family's 2925-position model. The record is from RNAcentral. Lineage: Eukaryota; Metazoa; Chordata; Amphibia; Anura; Megophryidae.
GCGGUAUUCUGACCGCGCGAAGGUAGCGUAAUCACUUGUUUUUUAAAUAAAGACUAGUAUGAACGGCCACACGAGGACUUAGCUGUCUCCUUAGUCCAAUCAGUGAAACUGAUCUCCCCGUGCAGAAGCGGGGAUUUUACCAUAAGACGAGAAGACCCUAUGGAGCUUUAAACUUUUAUUAACUAUUUUAUAUACCCCUCUAAGGAAUCAACAACUAAUUUAAUACCCUUAAUAAAAGUUUUAGGUUGGGGCGACCAUGGAGAAAAAAAAAUCCUCCCUGAUGACAACCUACUAAGAGCCACAGCUCCAAGUAUUAAGACACUUAACUCCUAUUGACCCAUUUUAUGAUCAACGAACCAAGUUACCCUAGGGAUAACAGCGCAAUCCAUUUCAAGAGUCCCUAUCGACAAAUGGGUUUACGACCUCGAUGUUGGAUCAGGGCAUCCAAGUGGUGCAACCGCUACUAAUGGUUCGUUUGUUCAACGAUUAAAGCCCUACGU